This 73-nucleotide transfer RNA is filed under the name Camelus bactrianus (Bactrian camel). It matches the Rfam family "tRNA". Rfam says of the family: Transfer RNA (tRNA) molecules are approximately 80 nucleotides in length. RNAcentral also lists the same sequence under 2 other names. The record is from Rfam by way of RNAcentral. Lineage: Eukaryota; Metazoa; Chordata; Mammalia; Artiodactyla; Camelidae.
GAGGGUGUAGCUCAAGUGGUAGAGUGCAUGCUUAGCAUGCAUAAAGUCCUAGGUUCAAUCCCCAGUACCUCCU